UACGUAGGGUGCAAGCGUUGUCCGGAAUUAUUGGGCGUAAAGAGCUCGUAGGCGGUUUGUCGCGUCUGCUGUGAAAACUCGGGGCUCAACUCCGAGCUUGCAGUGGGUACGGGCGGGCUAGAGUUCGGUAGGGGAGACUGGAAUUCCUGGUGUAGCGGUGAAAUGCGCAGAUAUCAGGAGGAACACCGGUGGCGAAGGCGGCCCACUGGUCCGGUACUGACGCUGAGGUGCGAAAGCGUGGGAGCAAACAGG
This 252-nucleotide ribosomal RNA is filed under the name uncultured bacterium. RNAcentral describes it as "partial 16S ribosomal RNA". It matches the Rfam family "Bacterial small subunit ribosomal RNA", at positions 524 to 776 of the family's 1533-position model. The record is from RNAcentral.